CCUACGGGUGGCAGCAGUGGGGAAUAUUGCGCAAUGGGCGAAAGCCUGACGCAGCGACGCCGCGUGAGGGAUGAAGGUCUUCGGAUCGUAAAACUCUGUCAGCAGGGAAGAACGGUCACUGUGCUAAUUAUCAGCGAAUUGACGGUACCUGCAAAGGAAGCACCGGCUAACUCCGUGCCAGCAGCCGCGGUAAUACGGAGGGUGCGAGCGUUAACCGGAAUUAUUGGGCGUAAAGCGCUCGUAGGCGGUAUGUCAAGUCAAGGGUGAAAUCCCCGCGCUCAACGUGGGAACUGCCUUUGAAACUGGCAAACUUGAGUGUGUAAGAGGAUAGUGGAAUUCCAGGUGUAGGAGUGAAAUGCGUAGAUAUCUGGAGGAACAUCAGUGGCGAAGGCGACUAUCUGGCACAUAACUGACGCUGAGGAGCGAAAGCGUGGGUAGCAAACAGGAUUAGAUACCCUUGUAGUC
RNAcentral lists this ribosomal RNA (465 nucleotides) under uncultured bacterium. RNAcentral describes it as "partial 16S ribosomal RNA". It matches the Rfam family "Bacterial small subunit ribosomal RNA", at positions 338 to 795 of the family's 1533-position model. The record is from RNAcentral.